GGGAUUACAAAGGCCGCACCCGCACCGACGCACCCGGCACUCCCUGGCCCCCACCACGCGAUGGCCGUGGAAUGGUGGAAUGUUUUCACCCUUUCCUUCCUGGAGCUGGGCCUGAGGCCGACUGUCUCCGCGAGAAUGAAAUGCUAUUGUUCUCUCGCCUCUGCCUGGGUUUGGGAUUUGAGGAUGGAGAAGAUGCAUCCUCUCAUAAUUAAUUAA
This 216-nucleotide long non-coding RNA is filed under the name Mustela putorius furo (domestic ferret). RNAcentral's name for it is "lncRNA (ENSMPUG00000030524.1)". The record is from RNAcentral. Lineage: Eukaryota; Metazoa; Chordata; Mammalia; Carnivora; Mustelidae.